AUUGAACGCUGGCGGCAGGCCUAACACAUGCAAGUCGAACGGUAACAGGAAGAAGCUUGCUUCUUUGCUGACGAGUGGCGGACGGGUGAGUAAUGUCUGGGAAACUGCCUGAUGGAGGGGGAUAACUACUGGAAACGGUAGCUAAUACCGCAUAACGUCGCAAGACCAAAAAGGGGGACCUUCGGGCCUCUUGCCAUCGGAUGUGCCCAGAUGGGAUUAGCUAGUAGGUGGGGUAACGGCUCACCUAGGCGACGAUCCCUAGCUGGUCUCAGAGGAUGACCAGCCACACUGGAACUGAGACACGGUCCAGACUCCUACGGGAGGCAGCAGUGGGGAAUAUUGCACAAUGGGCGCAAGCCUGAUGCAGCCAUGCCGCGUGUAUGAAGAAGGCCUUCGGGUUGUAAAGUACUUUCAGCGGGGAGGAAGGGAGUAAAGUUAAUACCUUUGCUCAUUGACGUUACCCGCAGAAGAAGCACCGGCUAACUCCGUG
This 490-nucleotide ribosomal RNA is filed under the name uncultured bacterium. RNAcentral's name for it is "partial 16S ribosomal RNA". It matches the Rfam family "Bacterial small subunit ribosomal RNA", at positions 30 to 507 of the family's 1533-position model. The record is from RNAcentral.